CGUAUCACCCAAGACAACUUUACGGAGUUGACGAUUGACGGAGCGAAGCGACGUCAAAGCGUUCAUUAAAGUCGAGUUGGCUUAGGGAUACGUUCGUUGGGUAGGGGAGCGUUCUGUAAGCCUGUGAAGGUGUGUCGUGAGGCAUGCUGGAGGUAUCAGAAGUGCGAAUGCUGACAUAAGUAACGAUAAAGCGGGUGAAAAGCCCGCUCGCCGGAAGACCAAGGGUUCCUGUCCAACGUUAAUCGGGGCAGGGUGAGUCGACCCCUAAGGCGAGGCCGAAAGGCGUAGUCGAUGGGAAACGGGUUAAUAUUCCCGUACUUGGUGUUACUGCGAAGGGGGGACGGAGAAGGCUAUGUUGGCCGGGCGACGGUUGUCCCGGUUUAAGCGUGUAGGUGUGUGUUCCAGGUAAAUCCGGUUCACUUUAACACUGAGGCGUGACGACGAGGCACUACGGUGCUGAAGCAACAAAUGCCCUGCUUCCAGGAAAAGCCUCUAAGCAUCAGGUAACAUCAAAUCGUACCCCAAACCGACACAGGUGGUCAGGUAGAGAAUACCAAGGCGCUUGAGAGAACUCGGGUGAAGGAACUAGGCAAAAUGGUGCCGUAACUUCGGGAGAAGGCACGCUGACACGUAGGUGAAGUGAUUUACUCAUGGAGCUGAAGUCAGUCGAAGAUACCAGCUGGCUGCAACUGUUUAUUAAAAACACAGCACUGUGCAAACACGAAAGUGGACGUAUACGGUGUGACGCCUGCCCGGUGCCGGAAGGUUAAUUGAUGGGGUCAGCGCAAGCGAAGCUCCUGAUCGAAGCCCCGGUAAACGGCGGCCGUAACUAUAACGGUCCUAAGGUAGCGAAAUUCCUUGUCGGGUAAGUUCCGACCUGCACGAAUGGCGUAAUGAUGGCCAGGCUGUCUCCACCCGAGACUCAGUGAAAUUGAACUCGCUGUGAAGAUGCAGUGUACCCGCGGCAAGACGGAAAGACCCCGUGAACCUUUACUAUAGCUUGACACUGAACAUUGAGCCUUGAUGUGUAGGAUAGGUGGGAGGCUUUGAAGUGUGGACGCCAGUCUGCAUGGAGCCGACCUUGAAAUACCACCCUUUAAUGUUUGAUGUUCUAACGUGGACCCGUAAUCCGGGUUGCGGACAGUGUCUGGUGGGUAGUUUGACUGGGGCGGUCUCCUCCUAAAGAGUAACGGAGGAGCACGAAGGUUGGCUAAUCCUGGUCGGACAUCAGGAGGUUAGUGCAAUGGCAUAAGCCAGCUUGACUGCGAGCGUGACGGCGCGAGCAGGUGCGAAAGCAGGUCAUAGUGAUCCGG
Molecule: ribosomal RNA, 1313 nt
Filed under: Salmonella enterica
Lineage: Bacteria; Pseudomonadati; Pseudomonadota; Gammaproteobacteria; Enterobacterales; Enterobacteriaceae
Description: partial 23S ribosomal RNA
Rfam family: Bacterial large subunit ribosomal RNA
Source: RNAcentral